UACGAAGGGGGCUAGCGUUGCUCGGAAUCACUGGGCGUAAAGGGCGCGUAGGCGGCUCAUGAAGGCUGUGGUGAAAGUCCGGGGCUCAACCUCGGAUCGGCCGUGGCGACUCGUGGGCUGGAGCACUGUAGAGGCGGGUGGAAUUCCGGGUGUAGCGGUGGAAUGCGUAGAGAUCCGGAAGAACACCAGUGGCGAAGGCGGCUCACUGGCCCGGUACUGACGCUGAGGUGCGAAAGCGUGGGGAGCAAACAGG
RNAcentral lists this ribosomal RNA (253 nucleotides) under uncultured bacterium. RNAcentral's name for it is "partial 16S ribosomal RNA". It matches the Rfam family "Bacterial small subunit ribosomal RNA", at positions 524 to 776 of the family's 1533-position model. The record is from RNAcentral.